RNAcentral lists this ribosomal RNA (495 nucleotides) under uncultured bacterium. RNAcentral's name for it is "partial 16S ribosomal RNA". It matches the Rfam family "Bacterial small subunit ribosomal RNA", at positions 28 to 507 of the family's 1533-position model. The record is from RNAcentral.
GACGAACGCUGGCGGCGUGCCUAAUACAUGCAAGUAGAACGCUGAAGGAGGAGCUUGCUCUUCUGGAUGAGUUGCGAACGGGUGAGUAACGCGUAGGUAACCUGCCUGGUAGCGGGGGAUAACUAUUGGAAACGAUAGCUAAUACCGCAUAACAGUAGAUGUUGCAUGACAUUUGCUUAAAAGGUGCAAUUGCACCACUACCAGAUGGACCUGCGUUGUAUUAGCUAGUUGGUGGGGUAACGGCUCACCAAGGCGACGAUACAUAGCCGACCUGAGAGGGGGAUCGGCCGCACUGGGACGGAGACACGGCCCAGACUCCUACGGGAGGCAGCAGUAGGGAAUCUUCGGCAAUGGACGGAAGUCUGACCGAGCAACGCCGCGUGAGUGAAGAAGGUUUUCGGAUCGUAAAGCUCUGUUGUAAGAGAAGAACGAGUGUGAGAGUGGAAAGUUCACACUGUGACGGUAGCUUACCAGAAAGGGACGGCUAACUACGUG